UACGAAGGGGGCAAGCGUUAUUCGGAAUUAUUGGGCGUAAAGGGCGCGUAGGUGGUUUAUUAAGUCGAAUGUUAAAUCUCAUCGCCUAACGGUGAGUUCGCAGUCGAUACUAAUAGGCUAGAGGAUGAGAGAGAAGAGUGGAAUUCUCGGAGUAGCGGUUAAAUGCGUGGAUCUCGAGAGGAACAUCAUUGGCGAAGGCAGCUCUUUGGUUCAUUCCUGACACUAAAGCGCGAAGGCGUGGGGAGCAAACAGG
RNAcentral lists this ribosomal RNA (253 nucleotides) under uncultured bacterium. RNAcentral's name for it is "partial 16S ribosomal RNA". It matches the Rfam family "Bacterial small subunit ribosomal RNA", at positions 524 to 776 of the family's 1533-position model. The record is from RNAcentral.